UACGGGGGGGGCAAGCGUUGUUCGGAAUUACUGGGCGUAAAGGGCUCGUAGGCGGCCAACUAAGUCGGACGUGAAAUCCCCAGGCUCAACCUGGGAACUGCGUCCGAUACUGGAUGGCUUGAAUUCGGGAGAGGGAUGCAGAAUUCCAGGUGUAGCGGUGAAAUGCGUAGAUAUCGGGAAGAACACCAGUGGCGAAAGCGGCUCUCUGGGGACCACCUGACGCUGAGGCGCGAAAGCGUGGGGAGCGAACCGG
This 253-nucleotide ribosomal RNA is filed under the name uncultured bacterium. RNAcentral's name for it is "partial 16S ribosomal RNA". It matches the Rfam family "Bacterial small subunit ribosomal RNA", at positions 524 to 776 of the family's 1533-position model. The record is from RNAcentral.